GCGGAUGUGGCGGAACUGGCAGACGCGCUAGACUUAGGAUCUAGUGGGCGACCGUGGGGGUUCGAGUCCCUUCAUCCGCA
This 80-nucleotide transfer RNA is filed under the name Clostridiales bacterium. RNAcentral's name for it is "tRNA-Leu". It matches the Rfam family "tRNA". From Rfam's summary of the family: Transfer RNA (tRNA) molecules are approximately 80 nucleotides in length. Their secondary structure includes four short double-helical elements and three loops (D, anti-codon, and T loops). Lineage: Bacteria; Bacillati; Bacillota; Clostridia; Eubacteriales. The record is from RNAcentral.